AUCUCUAGAAAUAACUCUUCCAUCACUCAAAUACUACAAGCUACAUCCUUCAAAAUUAAAGGAUUUGGCGGUGUUUUAAUCCAAUUAGAGGAACCUGUUCUUUAAACGAUACACCACGCAAUAUCUUACCUUGCCUCAAAGCCUGUAUACCGUCAUUAUCAGACAACUCCCCUAGGACUAGUUGUUUCAAUAAACUUUCCUUAAUAUAUUAGAUCAAGGUGCAGCCCAUGGCUAGGCUUUCUAUGGGUUACAAUAAAACUUAUUUAUACGAAUCUAAAGAUAAAUAUCUUCAGUGAAGGAGGAUUUAAUAGUAAGAUCAGUUCAACAAGCUAAUCUGACAAAGGACCUAAAUCAAGUACAUAUCGCCCGUCACUUUCAUUCACAGAUGAAAUAAGUCGUAACACAG
RNAcentral lists this ribosomal RNA (406 nucleotides) under Ctenocheloides almeidai. RNAcentral's name for it is "partial small subunit ribosomal RNA". It matches the Rfam family "Microsporidia small subunit ribosomal RNA", at positions 752 to 1279 of the family's 1311-position model. The record is from RNAcentral. Lineage: Eukaryota; Metazoa; Arthropoda; Malacostraca; Decapoda; Ctenochelidae.